GGGGGGCCUAAGGUCCCUUGCCAGGUGUUAAACCGAAUUUCGCCCUUACCCGCCUGAACUUAAGCAUAUCAAUAAAGCGGAGGAAAAGAAACUAACAAGGAUUCCCCUAGUAACUGCCAGUGAAGCGGGAAAAGCUCCAAUUUGAAAUCUGGCGGCUCUGCCGUCCGAGUUGUAUUCUGGAGAAGUGCCUUCCGCGCCGGACCGUGUACAAGUCCCUUGGAACAGGGCGUCAUAGAGGGUGAGGAAUCCCGUCUUUGAUCACGGACCCCCCGGUGCUCUGCGAUGCGCUCUCGAAGAGUCGAGUUGUUUGGGAAUGCAGCUCAAAAUGGGUGGGUAAAUUCCAUCUAGAGCUAGAUAUUGGCGAGAGACCGAUAGCGAACAAGUACCGUGAGGGAAAGAUGAAAAGCACUUUGGAAAGAGAGUAAAACAGUACGUGAUAUUGUUGAAAGGGAAACGCUUGAAGUCAGUCGCGUGUGAGGGAACUCAGGCCUGCUUCCGCUUGGUGUAGUUUCCGGUCCGACGGCCCACGCAUCCGUUUUUUGGGUCCGACACUGGACGCGGGGAAGGGGGUAGCUCCCGCCCCCGUAUAGCCUUUUGUCCCAAACGUCUUCGAGGGACCCGAGAAAUCCAGACCAACCUGCGCAUGCGGGGGAAUCGUGCUUUAAUCGCCCUUUUUUGACCCACCUAUGGGGCAAAUUCCGGGCGCCUUAAAUUCCAUCCCCCCCUUAAACGCGCCGCUAUUAAAAUUCCCCGGGUCCCGACUUUUUUUAAACCCCCGUUUUUGGAAAAACCCUGGCCGGUUUCCAAACUCUAAUCGCUUUCGAACAAUAAUCCCCCUUUUUUGCAACCACGGCCCCCUUAUUCCCAAAAGGCUCCCGCACUAGAUAGCCCUUUCCCCACAUUUCGCCCGCCCCUUUCUUCAACCCGCUGUGUUUAGGGCCUUUUCCCCCUUCAAAAAACAUAAAAAUGUUUUUCCCUCCCUUUUUAUGGAGGAGAGAACCCGGUUUUAUUUUUUUUUUUCCGCCCCGUGGGGCCACAGAAGAAGAGGUGUUUUUCCCCCCCGGCCGCCGGCCCCCACGGCCCGGGGUAAGAAACACCCCUCCCCCCCAGAUACCCAACCUCCUCCGGGGGUUGUCAUAUUUUGGCUCCCACACACAGGGUCCUCGCUUGCCCACCCCCCGACCCCCUAAUUUUAAGGCGCGCCGCGCGGUCUU
This 1214-nucleotide ribosomal RNA is filed under the name uncultured fungus. RNAcentral's name for it is "partial 28S ribosomal RNA". It matches the Rfam family "Eukaryotic large subunit ribosomal RNA", at positions 1 to 640 of the family's 3401-position model. Lineage: Eukaryota; Fungi. The record is from RNAcentral.